AUGUUUCCGACGCCGCACCUGCUGUGGGCUCUGCUGCUCCGUGUGACAGGUACUUUGGCUGUUCCGGUUCUCAGUCAGAGUCCGGUGUCCGACCCACUCUCCGCCGGUCAGACGGCCCAAUUCAAGUGUGCUAUACAGAACGGUGAUGUGGGCAGCUGCCAGGUGCAUUGGUACAGUCAGACUCCCGGAGAAGCCCCGGUGUGGGUGAUCAUGCAAGUGACAAUAACAUUUUUAGAGGCACCGGUUUCACAGACGAUUUCCAACCUUGGGGGGGGGGGGGUCUUGUCAUUAAAGGUGAAGUGGGUAGAAAGCCACAGCUUUACGAGCUUGAUGAUGCUUUUCUUGCUGAUGAAGUUGGUGCUGGCUGGUGGUUGUGUCCUUCUAGUAGCGUGCCUCCUGAGGAAGUAGAGGUGUUCUUGGGUUUGCUUGACUGUGACGUCAACAUGAGUGGACGAGGGCAGAUUGUUGGUGACCACCAUUCCUCAGAACUUGACGCUCUGAACGAUCGCCAAAUCAGCAUCACUAACGUGGAAGGAUAA
This is a non-coding RNA of Hemiscyllium ocellatum (epaulette shark), 539 nucleotides long. NCBI's taxonomy places the organism in Eukaryota, Metazoa, Chordata, Chondrichthyes, Orectolobiformes, Hemiscylliidae. The record is from the annotation of a RefSeq genome assembly.